AGGGCGCAAGCGUUGUCCGGAAUUAUUGGGCGUAAAGAGCUCGUAGGUGGCGUGUCGCGUCUGCCGUGAAAGCCCAUGGCUUAACUGUGGGUCUGCGGUGGAUACGGGCAGGCUGGAGGCUGGUAGGGGCAAGCGGAAUUCCUGGUGUAGCGGUGAAAUGCGCAGAUAUCAGGAGGAACACCGGUGGCGAAGGCGGCUUGCUGGGCCAGUUCUGACGCUGAGGAGCGAAAGCGUGGGGAGCGAACAGG
RNAcentral lists this ribosomal RNA (248 nucleotides) under uncultured bacterium. Its description in RNAcentral is "partial 16S ribosomal RNA". It matches the Rfam family "Bacterial small subunit ribosomal RNA", at positions 529 to 776 of the family's 1533-position model. The record is from RNAcentral.